GAAAGCGAUGCUAAUACCGGAUAACAUCAUAUUAACCUUGGUUUUUAUGAUCAAAGAUGACCUCUACAUGUAAGUUGUUGUUUGAGGAGGAGCCCGCGUACCAUUAACUAGUUGGUGGGGUAAAGGCCUACCAAGGCUACGAUGGUUAGCUGGUCUGAGAGGAUGAUCAGCCACACUGGAACUGACACACGGUCCAGACUCCUACGGGAGGCAGCAGUGAGGAAUUUUGCGCAAUGGGGGAAACCCUGACGCAGCAACGCCGCGUGAGUGAUGAAGGCUUUAGGGUCGUAAAGCUCUGUCAAGUGGGAAGAACCUAUCCGGGAGUAAUAUGUCCGGGUAUUGACGGUACCACUGAAGGAAGCACCGGCUAACUCCGUGCCAGCAGCCGCGGUAAUACGGGGGGUGCAAGCGUUAUUCGGAAUCAUUGGGCCGUAAAGGGCACGCAGGCGGCCCUGGUAAGUCAGAUGGUGAA
RNAcentral lists this ribosomal RNA (472 nucleotides) under uncultured bacterium. RNAcentral's name for it is "bacterial SSU rRNA". It matches the Rfam family "Bacterial small subunit ribosomal RNA", at positions 153 to 599 of the family's 1533-position model. The record is from RNAcentral.